UACGGGGGGGGUAAGCGUUGUUCGGAAUUACUGGGCGUAAAGGGUUUGUAGGUGGCUUGCUAAGUCAGACGUGAAAUCCCUCAGCUUAACUGGGGAACUGCGUCUGAUACUGGCGAGCUUGAGUGCAGGAGAGGAACGCGGAAUUCCAGGUGUAGCGGUGAAAUGCGUAGAUAUCUGGAGGAACACCGGUGGCGAAGGCGGCGUUCUGGACUGCAACUGACACUGAAAAACGAAAGCCAGGGGAGCAAACGGG
RNAcentral lists this ribosomal RNA (253 nucleotides) under uncultured bacterium. Its description in RNAcentral is "partial 16S ribosomal RNA". It matches the Rfam family "Bacterial small subunit ribosomal RNA", at positions 524 to 776 of the family's 1533-position model. The record is from RNAcentral.